AUGAACGCUGGCGGCGUGCUUAACCCAUGCAAGUCGAACGAAGCACUUUAUUUGAUUUCCUUCGGGACUGAUUAUUUUGUGACUGAGUGGCGGACGGGUGAGUAACGCGUGGGUAACCUGCCUUGUACAGGGGGAUAACAGUUGGAAACGGCUGCUAAUACCGCAUAAGCGCACAGCAUCGCAUGAUGCAGUGUGAAAAACUCCGGUGGUAUAAGAUGGACCCGCGUUGGAUUAGCUAGUUGGUGAGGUAACGGCCCACCAAGGCGACGAUCCAUAGCCGACCUGAGAGGGUGACCGGCCACAUUGGGACUGAGACACGGCCCAAACUCCUACGGGAGGCAGCAGUGGGGAAUAUUGCACAAUGGGCGAAAGCCUGAUGCAGCGACGCCGCGUGAGCGAAGAAGUAUUUCGGUAUGUAAAGCUCUAUCAGCAGGGAAGAUAAUGACGGUACCCGACUAAGAAGCACCGGCUAAAUACGUG
Molecule: ribosomal RNA, 480 nt
Filed under: uncultured bacterium
Lineage: Bacteria
Description: partial 16S ribosomal RNA
Rfam family: Bacterial small subunit ribosomal RNA
Source: RNAcentral